RNAcentral lists this ribosomal RNA (1372 nucleotides) under metagenome. RNAcentral's name for it is "bacterial LSU rRNA". It matches the Rfam family "Bacterial large subunit ribosomal RNA", at positions 1566 to 2925 of the family's 2925-position model. The record is from RNAcentral.
UUGACGGUGCUCCAUUGGAGCCGAAGUCACUGAUGCCACGCUUCCAAGAAAAGCCACUAAGCUUCAGGUAGACAAGAACCGUACCGCAAACCGACACAGGUGGGUAGGAUGAGAAUUCUAAGGCGCUUGAGAGAACUCGGGUGAAGGAACUCGGCAAAUUUGCACCGUAACUUCGGGAUAAGGUGCGCCCCGAUGAUGUGUAGAGAUUUCUCUCGAAGCAGUAAGGGGUUGCAGUGAAAAGGUGGCUGCGACUGUUUAAUAAAAACACAGCACUCUGCAAAUACGAAAGUCGACGUAUAGGGUGUGACGCCUGCCCGGUGCCGGAAGGUUAAUUGAUGGGGUGCAAGCUCUUGAUCGAAGCCCCGGUAAACGGCGGCCGUAACUAUAACGGUCCUAAGGUAGCGAAAUUCCUUGUCGGGUAAGUUCCGACCCGCACGAAUGGCGUAACGAUGGCCACACUGUCUCCACCCGAGACUCAGCGAAGUUGAAAUGUUUGUGAAGAUGCAAUCUCCCCGCGGCUAGACGGAAAGACCCCAUGAACCUUUACUGUAGCUUUGCAUUGGACUGUGACAGGACUUGUGUAGGAUAGCUGGGAGACGUUGAAGCAGGGACGCUAGUUCUUGUGGAGUCAACCUUGAAAUACCAGCCUGGUGUUGUUGCGGUUCUAACCUUGGUCCGUAAUCCGGAUCGGGGACCGUGCAUGGUGGGCAGUUUGACUGGGGCGGUCUCCUCCCAAAGAGUAACGGAGGAGUACGAAGGUCUUCUAGGUACGGUCGGACAUCGUACUGAUAGUGCAAUGGCAUAAGAAGGCUUGACUGCGAGACUGACACGUCGAGCAGGUGCGAAAGCAGGUCAUAGUGAUCCGGUGGUUCUGUAUGGAAGGGCCAUCGCUCAACGGAUAAAAGGUACUCUGGGGAUAACAGGCUGAUUCCUCCCAAGAGUUCAUAUCGACGGGGGAGUUUGGCACCUCGAUGUCGGCUCAUCUCAUCCUGGGGCUGUAGCCGGUCCCAAGGGUAUGGCUGUUCGCCAUUUAAAGAGGUACGUGAGCUGGGUUUAAAACGUCGUGAGACAGUUUGGUCCCUAUCUGCCGUGGGCGUUGGAGAUUUGACGGGGGCUGCUCCUAGUACGAGAGGACCGGAGUGGACGCAUCUCUGGUGUACCGGUUAUGACGCCAGUCGUAUCGCCGGGUAGCUAUAUGCGGAAGAGAUAAACGCUGAAAGCAUCUAAGCGUGAAACUUGCCUGAAGAUGAGAUCUCCCCAGGCCUUGAGCCUGCUAAAGGGUCGUUGAAGACCACAACGUUGAUAGGCGGGGUGUGGAAGCGCAGUAAUGCGUUAAGCUAACCCGUACUAAUUGCCCGUGCGGCUUGACCCU